GAUGAACGCUGGCGGCGUGCCUAAUACAUGCCAGUCGAGCGAACAGACGAGGAGCUUGCUCCUCUGACGUUAGCGGCGGACGGGUGAGUAACACGUGGAUAACCUACCUAUAAGACUGGGAUAACUUCGGGAAACCGGAGCUAAUACCGGAUAAUAUAUUGAACCGCAUGGUUCAAUAGUGAAAGACGGUUUUGCUGUCACUUAUAGAUGGAUCCGCGCCGCAUUAGCUAGUUGGUAAGGUAACGGCUUACCAAGGCAACGAUGCGUAGCCGACCUGAGAGGGUGAUCGGCCACACUGGAACUGAGACACGGUCCAGACUCCUACGGGAGGCAGCAGUAGGGAAUCUUCCGCAAUGGGCGAAAGCCUGACGGAGCAACGCCGCGUGAGUGAUGAAGGUCUUCGGAUCGUAAAACUCUGUUAUUAGGGAUGAACAAAUGUGUAAGUAACUAUGCACGUCUUGACGGUACCUAAUCAGAAAGCCACGGCUAACUACGUG
This 497-nucleotide ribosomal RNA is filed under the name uncultured bacterium. RNAcentral describes it as "partial 16S ribosomal RNA". It matches the Rfam family "Bacterial small subunit ribosomal RNA", at positions 28 to 507 of the family's 1533-position model. The record is from RNAcentral.